This 821-nucleotide ribosomal RNA is filed under the name Labrenzia sp. Its description in RNAcentral is "bacterial SSU rRNA". It matches the Rfam family "Bacterial small subunit ribosomal RNA", at positions 53 to 914 of the family's 1533-position model. Lineage: Bacteria; Pseudomonadati; Pseudomonadota; Alphaproteobacteria; Hyphomicrobiales; Stappiaceae. The record is from RNAcentral.
ACAAUGCAGUCGACGAACUCUUCGGAGUUAGUGGCAGACGGGUGAGUAACGCGUGGGAACCUACCUUUAGGUACGGAACAACAGUUGGAAACGACUGCUAAUACCGUAUGUGCCCUAUGGGGGAAAGAUUUAUCGCCUAAGGAUGGGCCCGCGUUGGAUUAGCUAGUUGGUGGGGUAAUGGCCUACCAAGGCGACGAUCCAUAGCUGGUCUGAGAGGAUGAUCAGCCACACUGGGACUGAGACACGGCCCAGACUCCUACGGGAGGCAGCAGUGGGGAAUAUUGGACAAUGGGGGCAACCCUGAUCCAGCCAUGCCGCGUGAGUGAUGAAGGCCCUAGGGUUGUAAAGCUCUUUCAGCGAGGAGGAUAAUGACGUUACUCGCAGAAGAAGCCCCGGCUAACUUCGUGCCAGCAGCCGCGGUAAUACGAAGGGGGCUAGCGUUGUUCGGAAUCACUGGGCGUAAAGCGCACGUAGGCGGACUUUUAAGUCAGGGGUGAAAUCCCGGGGCUCAACCCCGGAACUGCCUUUGAUACUGGAAGUCUUGAGUCCGAGAGAGGUGAGUGGAACUCCGAGUGUAGAGGUGAAAUUCGUAGAUAUUCGGAAGAACACCAGUGGCGAAGGCGGCUCACUGGCUCGGUACUGACGCUGAGGUGCGAAAGCGUGGUGGAGCAAACAGGAUUAGAUACCCUGGUAGUCCACGCCGUAAACGAUGGAAGCUAGCCGUCUGGUAGCAUGCCAUUUGUUGGUCUCAGCUAACGCAUUAAUGCUUCCCUCCUGGGUUAGUACUUAUCGCAAGCAUUAACAUCUCCUAGGGAGUUGGA